CAAAGUUUUGGUCCUAAACUUGCCGUUAUUUAAAAUCAAAAUUACACAUGCAAGUAUCCGCACACCAGUGAAAAUGCCCAAACACUUAUUUAUAAAAAAGGAGCUGGCAUCAGGAACGCUUCUCCGCAGCCUACAACGCCUUGCCACAGGCCACACCCCCACGGGACUCAGCAGUGAUAAACAUUAAGCCAUUAGCACACACUUCAAGCUAGACUUAGUUAUGAUUACAAGGACCGGUUAACUUCGUGCCAGCCACCGCGGUUAUACGAGGGGUCCAAAAUAACGACCAUCGGCGUAAAGCGUGACUAGAUAUACCAUACACGAAGCUCAAAACUAAGCCUUGACAUAAAACCCACAGGCCACAAAUUAAGCCCUCACGCUUCCCCAUAUUAACUCACGAAAGCUAAGACACAAACUAGGAUUAGAUACCCUACUAUGCUCAGCCAUUAACCUAGAUGUACAAAAACAUACAAUCCGCCAGAGUACUACGAGCGAAAAGCUUAAAACUCAAAGGACUUGACGGUGUUCCAUAUCAACCUAGAGGAGCCUGUCCUAUAAACGAUACCCCACGUUAUACCUCUCCUUCCCUCGCCCCAUCAGCCUAUAUACCGCCGUCGCCAGUCUACCUUAUGAAAGCUAAAAAGUAGGCAAACCCGUCCAACACAGAAACGUCAGGUCAAGGUGUAGCCAAUGAGAAGGUAAGAGAUGGGCUACAUUCUUUAUAAAAAAGACUACAAAAAGCACAAUGAAAUAGUGCCCAAAGAUGGAUUUAGAAGUAAGCUGGACAAGACAAUCCAACCGAACUCUGCCCUGGAACGCGUACACACCGCCCGUCACCCUCAUCAACCUACAAAACCCAUAAAUAAACACACAAAAGACAACAGAUGAGGUAAGUCGUAACAUGGUAAGCGUACUGGAAAGUGUGCUUGGAAA
Molecule: non-coding RNA, 933 nt
Filed under: Coleonyx variegatus
Lineage: Eukaryota; Metazoa; Chordata; Lepidosauria; Squamata; Eublepharidae
Description: partial 12S ribosomal RNA
Rfam family: Bacterial small subunit ribosomal RNA
Source: RNAcentral